Molecule: long non-coding RNA, 1793 nt
Organism: Triticum aestivum (bread wheat)
Lineage: Eukaryota; Viridiplantae; Streptophyta; Magnoliopsida; Poales; Poaceae
Exons: 6
Source: RefSeq, a predicted model, not a curated record
CUUUCGUGGGCCCAGAUCGUAUCGGGGGAACGGAGGACGCGCGUGUGCGUUCUGGUCCGUGGACCAGAACGUUCUCAUCUCAACCGAGCCACGGAUCAGAACAGAGGAAACCCUCGUCGCCCCCCUCUCUUCCCCCAAAACCGGCGGCGCUCGAUCUGCACCGGCGGCCACGUGAUGGAAGAGGCUGGCCUCGAUUUCCUGCUCGAUGUCGUCCACAGGCCAUCGCCGUCUUGUUUCAGGGGAGGAGUUCGAGGACUAUCUUGAACACCCAUAUCCGGUUCCUCUGGCCUUGUUCCUGAGAAGCGAAGCCAGCCGCGCCGUCCCUGCGGACUCAAAUGCCGGGUCUGGUUGCGGGCAACAGGACGGGAAGUGCGCCGGCGUCCUGAUGCUUCUCUGACUCGGUCGGGGCAGUCAACUGACCCCGAGGCCUCUGGUUGGACAAAAAGGUUACAGCUCGGUAGUGCACCACCAGACCAGACACCUUGUCCCUGGGAUGAGUGCUCACAAUUAUGCAGAGGAACCGACAAAGAGUGUAGUGCGACCUGCACUUGCUCGGGCGAGGCAUAUGAUUUCUACAAUUUGUACACUUGGGAGAUCGGGUUCGGAAUUAGAUAUGAUAAGAUCAGGCUCAACGCUGAGAGGACAAAAUGCAUGGAGGAGAUAGUCUGCGGUUGCUCGGGAUUGGGCCAAUGUACUCCCCAAGUACUUCUGGUUACUGUACAACUUAGACUAUACAUGCUUGGCGAGCAGUCAUAAUUCUGAACGAAUGAACAAUUGGAGGCUAGGUCAGCAUUGCCUUACAAAUUCUACCUGUGUUCAUGCACUCCUCCGGUUGUUGUAGCGAUGAUCUGUUCCUUUCUCAGUGGGACAUGCGGGUCUUGAAAGGUUCAAGACAAUAACAAGCAGUUACUACUUACUACCGGGGACUGCAUGGAAUCAUUUUUCAGGCAUUUGCGGAAUCAUUAGGAAUGAAUUUUCUUGAGAGUUAUGCUACGGAAUCCAUCAAUGUGGAGAGAACUUUCUUAAAUAUGUCAUCAGAAAUGAAGAAAAGAUAACCAGGAGCUACACACUUUUAGAGGCCUUUUUUCUUCCCAGUUUCUCUGAAAUGUUAGAUCUCAUCGAAUGACCUGUAUUCUUGUGAAAAAGAAAGGCUUUGGGAAUUCCGUCCAAUAUGUUUGCAUUACUGGUUUAAAAAAUAUGAUAUGCUCAUCUUUUUAUUGGGUUGUGUGCAUGAUCAAGAGAAGCCGAGAGAGCAAUAAUUUCUUGCUUUUCGGAAGAAAAACUGCAAGCAAGAGCAAUGACGAACAAUUUCUCAAAUACUUCCCAUGGAGCCUUUCAUUACAUUAAUUCUGCAGAGUUCAUAAUUGACACAAACAGUUUAUUUAGGUAUUGGCUUUAGUUUUUCUGAUGGCUAAGGACAGAUCAUGCAGUUAUCUCCUCUUAUGACUACUUCUGCUGCCUUCUAAAAAUCUGAAUGACGAGCCAAUCUGCCACGGAGAGGAAAUCUACUGUCCAUGUUCACAUGAAAGGGCAGCCCAUACAGCAGCAGAACAGCAGCUGCUGCUCCGCAUAGGCUCAGCAAGACUCCAUUCCCAUGUGUUAUGAUAUUGUUGAGUGGACAUGAUUUUGUUGUGUUACUGUUUACCAUGGAGUACAUAUUUAAUACCUGCCAAUGUAUUAGGUGCAUUUGAUGGAUCUUAGGUAACGAAAAUUGUGUGAAAACAUGGUUAAUUAAAGCUUAGUAAUCAUCGCCCUGUCAUAUUUCCCAAAGGAUCAUAUUGUUGACUAUAUCU